This is a long non-coding RNA of Bombina bombina (fire-bellied toad), 739 nucleotides long. RefSeq lists it as uncharacterized. The transcript is spliced from 3 exons. Lineage: Eukaryota; Metazoa; Chordata; Amphibia; Anura; Bombinatoridae. The record is from RefSeq and is a predicted model, not a curated record.
AGCACAGUCUCUGCCAGCUCCGCUCCACCUUCAGCAUCCACAGACACACGGGAGAGAGAGAAAUAGACCUAAGUACCAGGAAGCUGCUGUCCAGUCUCACUGCAUCACCUCUUUUUUGGUCUCCUUCUGCUUGCUCCCUUGUGCAGUCUUAUUUCCCCCUGUAAGGAUGGAGAACUGUGGGCUCCCAGAAGAUUCUUUUCUGUCCUUCUUCUCCAGUCACACCUCCACCAGCCAGGUACAUCACUUCAUCACAGUACCAGGGAAGUAUUAGAACACAGAAAAGCAAAAGCAGAACCUUAUUUCAAAUUCAUAUUAAAGCACCCUAAUUUCACCCAACCCGAUCGCACUGUGAAGUUUAUUCAUCAGAAGUGCAACAAAAUUGGCGCCCAACGUGGGGCCGGGUGAAUAUGACACAGAAGUGAAUGCUGCAUAUAGAAAUAGCAGUCUGUGAGUGAAAGAAACUUGGUGCAAUCCCUGUAAUAGUGUAUGGUGAAGAAACAACCUGUCUGCUGAGGGGAAUAGAAACUAGGAAUUAGGCAAAGGAGGAUAUAUACUAAAUUAACCCCGCUGAUACAAAAAAACGCAAAAAUGGAUAUGGAGAGGUUACAAGAUGAAAUCAGCAGAUCGUUAACACAGAUGACAGUCAGUGAACUGAUUGAAACCUGCCAGGUUAUUAAAGCGUCAGAAGAGAGUAUGGCGAAAGGCAAAAACCGCCGCCAUUACAUGAGGAUAAUUAAUG